Larimichthys crocea (large yellow croaker) is the source of this 47-nucleotide non-coding RNA. Lineage: Eukaryota; Metazoa; Chordata; Actinopteri; Sciaenidae. The record is from Rfam.
ACAAAGGCUCUUUUAAGAGCCACCACACUUGUAUUUUAAACUGCUGU